Molecule: long non-coding RNA, 461 nt
Organism: Homo sapiens (human)
Lineage: Eukaryota; Metazoa; Chordata; Mammalia; Primates; Hominidae
Exons: 4
Source: RefSeq, a predicted model, not a curated record
AGGGAGGAAACCAUCCUGCCACUGGGAACCAGGAAGACGGGUGAAAGGCAAGGAAUAUGCAAAAUGAGUCUCAGCUCUCCUUUGAGACACCUUCCGGCCCUGGCAGAGUCCAGUGGCAGGAGCUUUGGUAUGAACCAUGCCCGGUAACAGGGACUGUGCAGAGGAAGAAUCCCAGCUAGCCUAUGGAUGAAGAGCUCAGUGAAAGGAGAGGCAGACAGGACCGAUGGCUGCCACCUUGGACCAUGAUGUGGGAGCCACGUUAUGAGAAUGGCAGAGCAACCAGAUAGCGUUGGCACCACCAAUCCCAGCCCUGGACUUCCCAUGUGCCGACGAAGACCUACUAUGCAGAGAGGAUAGAGGAGGGACACAGAGGCCACUGGAGGUGAUUUGAAAAGGACGAGGACACCUGGGAACAAGGCAAUGAAGGUGGCUAGGACAGAGGCAUGAGGACAGAGCCUGGG